AGUCUGAUCCAGCAAUUCUGUGUGCACGAUGAAGUUUUUCGGAAUGUAAAGUGCUUUCAGUUGGGAAGAAGAAAGUGACGGUACCAACAGAAGAAGCGACGGCUAAAUACGUGCCAGCAGCCGCGGUAAUACGUAUGUCGCAAGCGUUAUCCGGAUUUAUUGGGCGUAAAGCGCGUCUAGGCGGUUUGGUAAGUCUGAUGUGAAAAUGCGGGGCUCAACUCCGUAUUGCGUUGGAAACUGCCAAACUAGAGUACUGGAGAGGUAGGCGGAACUACAAGUGUAGAGGUGAAAUUCGUAGAUAUUUGUAGGAAUGCCGAUGGGGAAGCCAGCCUACUGGACAGAUACUGACGCUAAAGCGCGAAAGCGUGGGUAGCAAACAGGAUUAGAUACCCUGGUAGUCCACGCCGUAAACGAUGAUUACUAGGUGUUGGGGGUCGAACCUCAGCGCCCAAGCUAACGCGAUAAGUAAUCCGCCUGGGGAGUACGUACGCAAGUAUGAAACUCAAAGGAAAUUGACGG
RNAcentral lists this ribosomal RNA (519 nucleotides) under uncultured bacterium. RNAcentral's name for it is "bacterial SSU rRNA". It matches the Rfam family "Bacterial small subunit ribosomal RNA", at positions 380 to 916 of the family's 1533-position model. The record is from RNAcentral.